Long non-coding RNA from Mus musculus (house mouse), 969 nucleotides. RefSeq annotates it as predicted gene, 51461. The transcript has 3 exons. NCBI's taxonomy places the organism in Eukaryota, Metazoa, Chordata, Mammalia, Rodentia, Muridae. The record is from RefSeq and is a predicted model, not a curated record.
UGCUGUGAAGCAACCCAACCUGUCAAAUGAGGCGACUGGGAAAGAAAUGCCAACCCAGGCAGAAUGCAACUGACUGGCAGAGCUGCCAUGCGAAUUGAGUGGAGACAGUGGCAGGCAAUGAUGGACAGCCCAGUGGGUGGGGAAGCAGACGUUGGCAGGCCAUGAUGGACACCCGAGUGUGAAAGCACAGUGACAGCAGCAACCAGAAGACUGCAGUGAAUGAAGAACCCUCACCCCAAGCAGCUCCCCGGAAAAGCUGGCUCCAGCCCUAGAGACCUACCAGAGACAGAAGACCAGGAGCACAGAGCAUGUCCCCCAUGUCCUCUGAUUGUCUUUGUAACUGUUGGAAAUCAGUUCAACAUAUGUGCAGGUUGGUGUCUUUCACGGAGGUGAGGAUGCCAAGGAUGGGACCAGGGCAUUCAGCACAGCUUAACAAAAGCACCUUGCAGCUCAAAACCAGUCAUCUCACAGCUUCACCCAGAAAAGAAGAGGAAGGGACUGGGGUCUCACUACUCACUAAGAGUAAGAACAACCAUAAAGUCUUCCCACUGAGUCCUCCUCUUAAGGGCUCCAUCACCUCCCAAUAGCACCAGCCUGGGGACCAAGCCUUUAAACACAAGGGUCUUGAGACAUGUUAUGUAGCUAUUUCCUGAGACUUGAAACAUUCUCUUCCGGAAGGAGGAGGGGAGAAGGAAACACGGGAGCCGUGGAAAGGCAUAAGGCUCAGAAAACUCAAAAAGUUAUAGAACUCACAAAGCCUUCUCUGAAGUUAUGUAAGCAAUACGCAGCUGCCGAUCUGGAUGGAGGUACUCUCCAGUGUAACCGCCUGCAAGUUAUCCCAAGGAUGCAGCUUUGAUGAACCAUUGCCUAUGCGAGUGGGUUUGGGAAGGGGUCGUGGGGGAUACAACUGCCUUUGAAUUUCUUGUGCUCCUGUAAGUAACCUUCAAUAAACUCACUGGUUCACCAAGC